GAGAGAAGUAAAAUAUGAUGUUGAUUGGUGGACCUUCAAAUGCCAACACAGGAAUUUCUGCAGGGUCCUUGGUGCUGUGUCACAGCUGUUAUCAAGAAUUCAUGCCUAUAUUCUCUCAUCCACAGAACCCACCAAGGGAGCAUGAAGCCAAGCGGAAAUGCUGGUGUACAGUCACCUAUGAGAACCAAAAUAAGGCCAGCCAGAACACUGUCAAGGUCAUGGCAGAGCCCAGGCAUCCCUUGUUAACAUCCAUCUCUGAGUGAGCAUUAUGCAGAGAAGUUUUCCCCACUCCCAAUUCCUCUUCCAGAUUUAAAGAAAAAGCUAUUCGACUGCAGAAGGAACUUGAGCCUUUCCUCAUAGGGGAGAUGACCAUCUUUGACCUUACCUGUUCUAGCUAUGAGGCAAAAAUCUUUCUAAAUAGAUACACAUCAAUCACCACGCCAUAGCUGCUUGCUUAACUCAGGAUUACAUCAUUAAAAAUCGUUCCCUGUUCUCAGUAAGCCAUCACUGGAUAUGGUAGGGGAGCCAAGAAUUAUUGACCAACUGAAAAAUGACAGGGCCCCAUCAAAUCUAUUUGACUUGUAUUUCCCGGUUCCAAAGGACAGAAGGCCCUUUAUUCUAUGACGCAAUGGAAUGGGACAUUUGAAAGCCAGCAUCCAAUCACAACAUAAGGGCACUUGGAAGAUCCUAAAGUCUGAAGCUAGCACUGAGCUACUUUUCCAGUGGAUAUCAGGCCACGUAAGAUGCUUGCUCCUGCUUUGCCUUCCACCAUGAUUGGAAGCCUACUGAGGCCUCCCCAGAAGCAGAAGCUGCCAUGCUUCCUGUACAGCCUACAGAACCGUGAGCCAAUUAAACCUGUUUUCUACAUUAGUGUCACUAAAGUUGGUAUACAAUCCCCUCCACUACUAAAUUUGACUGGCUUUUUUAAAAAAGAGAAAAAAGAACAACAACAACAAAACUAUUUUCUUUAUAAAUUACCCUGUCUCAGAUAUUUCUUUGUAACAGUGUGAAAACAGACUAAUACAUGAGGUCUUUAAAAGGUAAUCAAAUUAAGAUAAGGUCACUAAGGUGGGCCCUAAUUUAAUAUGGCUGGGGUCCUUAUGAGAAAUGAUUAGACCAUCCUGGCUAACACGAUGAAACCCCGUCUCUACUAAAAAUACAAAAAAUUAGCCAGGCGUGGUGCUGCCUGUAGUCCCAGCUACUCAGGAGGCUGAGGCAGGAGCAUGGUGUGAACCCAGGAGGUGGAGCUUGCAGUGAGCCGAGAUCACACCAUUGCACUCCAGCCUGGGGACAGAGGGAGACUCUGCCUCAAAAAAAUAAAAAAUAAAAAUAAAUAAAAGAAGAGAUUAGAACACAGACUCAUAAAGGGAAGACCACGGGAAGACACAGGGAGAAGGCAGCCAUCUACAAGUCAAGGAGAGAGGCCUCAGAGGACACCAACCCCACUGACACUUUGAUCUUGGCCUUCCAGCCUCCAGAACUGUGAGAAAAUAAAUUUCUGUUGCUUAAGCCAACCAGUCUGUGGUACUUCGUUAUAGCAACCCCAGCAAACUAAAGGUGUAAAGCAUGCAGUUUUCACCAUUAAAUAUGUUGGCUGUAGUUUUUUGUUUUUUUGAGAGAGUCUCACCCUGUCACCCAGGCUGGAGUGCAAUAGCACAAUCUCAGCUCACUGCAACCUCUGCCUCCAGGGUUCAAGCGAUUCUCCUGCCUCAACCUCCCAAGUAUCUGGGACUACAGGCAUGCACCACCACGCUCAGCUAAUUCUUGUAUUUUUAGUAAAGGUGGGGAUUCACAAAGUUGGCCAGGCUGGUCUUGAACUCCUGAGCUCAAAUGAUCUGCCCAUCUCGGCCUCCCAAAGUGCUAAGGUUAUAGGCUUGAGCCACCAUGCCCAGCCAGCUGUAGUCUUUUUGUAAAUAUUCUUUAUCAAAUUGAAGAAGUCCUUCUCUAGUCCUAUUUUUCUGAGUGUUUUUAUCACAAAUGGGUGCUAAAUUUUGUCAAUUGUUCUUUCUCCAUCAAUAUACUUAUGUGGCCAGAUGCAGUGGCUCACGCCUGUAAUCCCUGCACUUUGGGAGGCCAAGGUGGGCUGAUCACUUGAGGUCAGGAGUUUGAGACUGGCCUUACCAACGUGGUGAAACCCUGUCUCUACUAAAAAUACAAAAAUUAGCCAGGCAUGGUGGUGCAUGCCUGUAAUCCCAGCUACUCAGGAGGCUGAGGCAGGAGAAUCGCUUGAACCCAGGAGGUGGAGGUUGCAGUGAGCCUAGAUUGCACCACUGCACUCCAGGCUAGGCAACAGAGACUCCAUCUCCAAAAAAAAAAAAAUUAUGUGAUUUUUCUUCUUUAGGAUGUUAAUAUAAUAGAUUAUAUUUGAUUAAUUUGAAAUAUUGAACUAGCCUUGCAUCUCUGGAAUAAAUCUCAUUUGGUCAUGGCAUGUAAUUAUUUUUGUAAAUUGUCUAAUUCUGUUUGCUAAUAUUUUGUUAAGAAAUUUUGCAUCUAUAUGCAUGGGGGAUGUUGGUCUGUGGUUUUCUUUUGGGUAUUGUCUUUGAUUUUGGUGUGAGGUGUGAGAAGUGUUUCCUCUUCUAUUUUCUGACAGAAAUUGCAUAAAAUUGGUGUUACUUCUUUAAAUGUUUGGUAGAAUUUCCCAAUGAAGUUAUCCAGACUUAGAAAUUUCUUUAUAAGAAAUUUUUUAUUUAAUUUUGGUUUUAAAAUUAUGACUCAGUUGAUUUAAUAAUUAAAGGGCUGGGCGCAGUGGCUCACGCCUGUAAUCCUAGCACUUUGGGAGGCCAAGGUGGGUGGAUUACCUGAGGUCAGGAGAUUAAGACCAGCCUGGCCAACAUGGCGAAACCCCAUCUGUACUAAAAAUACAAAAAUUAGCCGGAUGUGGUGGCAGGCACCUAUAAUCUCAGCUAUCAAGAGGCUGAGGUAGGAGAAUCGCUUGAGCCCAGGGAGUAGAGGUUGCAAUGAGCCGAGAUCACACCAAUUCACUCCAGCCUAAGCGAAAGAGCGAAACUCCAUCUCAAAUUAUGAUUCUAGGCUGGGAGCGGUGGCUCACGCCUGUAAUCCCAGCACUUUGGGAGUCCGAGGCAGGAGGAUCACGAGGUCAGGAGUUCAAGACCAGCCUGGCCAAGAUGGUGAAACCCUGUCUCUAUUAAAAAUACAAAAAUUAGCCAGAUGUGGUGGCUAGUGCCUGUAAUCCCAGCUACUCGGGAGGCUGAGGCAGAAACUGCUUGAACCCGGGAGGUGGAGGUUGCAGUGAGCUGAGAUCACACCACUGCACUCCAGCCUGGGUGACAGAGCGAGACUCCAUCUCAAAAAAUAAAUAAAUAAAAUAAAUAUAAUUUAAAAAUAAAUAAAUAAAAAUAAAAUAAUAAUUAUAGGAGUAUUCAAAUUAUCUGAAUUGUGAUAGUUGUGUUUUUGAGAAAUGGUCAUUUCAUCUAAGUUGUAAAAUUUAUGUGUGUGGAGUUGUGCCUUGUAUUGUCUAUUUAUCCUACUCAUUUUUAAAUAUGCUGAUCUAUUUAAUUUUUGUUCCCAGAUGGAAAAGAGCUUUAUUGUUUUCAUUACAGUAAAAAAUAGAACAUACCCAUAGAAAAAUAUAUAUAUAAUAUAGAAUAUUUCCCAUAAAAGGAAGUAAAUCUAACCAAUCAAAGAUGUUAACAUUCUAGUGAAGAACCUUUCAGACAUCCAUCUAUCCACCCACACAAAUACAUGAAUGUAUACAUAGAUAUGUAUUUUAUAUAAAUAGGAUCAUAUUAUACAUGUUCAUCUGUAACCAUCCCUUUCAUUCGACAAAUCUAUGUCAGUGUAGGUCUACACCAUCAUUUAUGAUGACCACAAGAUAUUCCAUUGUGUGAAUAUAUUAUAAUUUACUUAACCCUAUCUGAUGUUGAUUGUCAAAUGGCUAAGUUGUUUCUAGUCUUUUAUAUAAACAACACUGUGGGUGAAUAUCCUUGUUCAUUUAGCUACAGAUGUGUAGCUAACUCUUUAGAAUUAUUUCCUAAGAGAAAGAUUACUGGUACGUUCAUUGAAAAUUCUGAUCAAUGUUACAUAGAUAUAUUAUGUAGGAAAAAGAAGAAGAAAGAAGAAGAAGAAAAGAAGGGGAAGAAGGGGAGGAGGAGAUGAAGGAGAAGAAGAAGAGGAAGAAGAGGGAGGAGGAGGAGGAAGAAGGAGGAGGAGGAGGUGGAGGAGGAGGAGGAGGAGAAGGAAAAACUCUGAUACAUAUGAUCAAACUACAUUCCACAAAAAUAUAUUACCCUAUCAUCACCUUGCAAACACUGUACUUUUUUUCCCCUCCUUGCCAAAAUAAUUUGUGAAAAAUAAUCAGGUUUUUUUGGUAAUACUGUAGUUGUUGUUUUGCUUUUCUUUGAUUACUUAUGAGAUUGAUGUGUUUAUGGGGUUUUUUUGUUUUCUUUUGUCUUGUCAUUUGUGUUUCCUCUUCAAGCACUACCUAGAAGCAGAAGGUUUCAUUAGGCACUCUAGAGAGGAUGUCCCCAACCCCCAGGCUGCAGACCCAUACAGUCUGUGGCCUGUUAGGAACCAGGCGGCACAGCAGGAGGUGAGCAUGGGCAACUAAGCAUUACCGCCUGAUCUCUGCCUCCUGUCAGAUCAGUGGCAGCAUUAGAUUCUCAUAGGAGCACAAACCCUAUUGUGAACUGCAUGUGCAAGGGAUCUAGGUUGCAUACUCCUUAUGAGAAUCUAAUGCCUGAUGAUCUGAGUUGGAACAGUCUCAUCCCCAAACCAUUCCCCCACCCCGUCCGUGGAAAAAUUGUCUUCCAUUAAACCAGUCCCUGGUGCCAAACAGGUUGGGGAUCGCAGCUAUAGAGGGCUGAUUUAAGAAGCCCUCUUGGCCAGCCACCAAGCCCAGCCCUCAUGUUUUCUAAUUUUACUGAAAAGUAUUCUUAUAUCCUUGAUAUAAAAGAAUAAAAUAAAAACCUAGUUGGGGAUGGAUGGGUGAUGAUGGAUUGCAUGACAAUGUGAAUAUAUUUAAUGCCACUAACUGUACACUUAAAAGUUGUUAAAAAGGUAAAUUUUAUGUUUUAUAUAUUUUACCAUAGUUUUUUAAACCCAGUUGGGGAAGAUAGAUAUAGAUAUUUUUGCAUACAAACAAGAACUUUGACUUCAUUAGUUUAUGACAGAAGAAUUGACUCUCAGUCUACUCUCCUUAAAAGAAAAAAAAUGAGAUUAAAGAAAGCGUGGCCAAUAUUCCACUUUCAUGUUCCAUACACUAAGAAAUAUGAGCUUCUUAAAAAUUUAAAUCUAUCCUUGUUUUAUUUUGAGAUGUAUAAAAUAAUAAAUAAUAUCAUCAAUAAACUUAAUAAGUAACGGGUACAUUAGAGAAACAUAAAUAAAUGAUAUCCUCAUCUUAAAUACUUUGCUUAUAUGCCACAAAUUUACUUCCAAAAAUAAUGAUACUACAUGUAAGUUCAUUUAUAUAUCAAACUAUGUUUGAGACAAAAUAAUUUAUCAAAUCUUCUGGGAUGAUGGCUUUUUUUUUUUUUUUUUUUGAGACAGAGUUUCACUCUUUGUUGCCCAGGCUGGAGUGCAACGGCGUGAUCUCAACUUACUGAAGCCUCCAUCUCCCGGGUUCAAGUGAUUCUCCUGCCUCAGCUCCCGAGUAUCUGGGAUUACAGGCAUGCACCACCACGCCUGGCUAAUUUUGUAGUUUUAGUAGAGACAGAGUUUCUCCAUGUUGGUCAGGCUGGUAUUGAACUCCUGGCCUCAGGUGAUCUGACUGCCUCGGCCUCCCGAAGUGCUGGGAUUGAUGGCUUUUAAAGUUCCUUUUAUGCUUCGGUUCUAGUUCAAAAGGCUUAGAGGUCCUCUUCCUGCCACUUGCUGAUGUUUUUCGGUAACGUUAUUCAGUAAUUUGAUCACAUUUCAUUAUUGACUGUCAUUUUCAUUAACACCUACUAAUAUUUCCCCAGCUUCUGUUAGAGACUGACUACCUGGCUUGGUGACACAGGUCCUGUGGCCAGAUCAUUGAGUCAUCACAUGCAACUAGGACCUUCCAAUAGUCUAGGGAACCACAGUUGAAUUGUGGAAAAGUCUGGAAAAGGACUAAGAGAAGACCUUGCCCUUGCUUUGGGGGCUCUGAUGCCCAAGUUCUCCUGUGGAACCUCUGCUCUCUUCACAUAUACACAGAACCUUCCUUACAGUGCUGGGACUCAGGAAGAAAGGAUUCUUAGGGGUAUGGAAAGGGGGUUGGAAGUGGAGUCUUCUGCUCCUGCUAUUUGCCUGGUACCCACGGUCUUCAGGUAAGAGGUCGCUGAGGAGAUAGCAGAGUCCAAUUCCAUUCUGACCACCUCCCCUUACAACCCAUUCUCCACCCACAUGCCAAAUGUUUUAUGUUUCAUAUUUUAUGUUUCUUGAUUUGCUUUAUAUUUAAAAACACAAAUCAGGUGUAGUCAUUCCUGUGUUGCUUACCCUCCAAUGACUUUCCAUUGCUUUUAGAAUGAAAUCCAAACUCCUAUGACAGCUGUGACCUGGCUCCUGCCACACUGACUCCCCUUUCUGUCCUAGGGAAUGUCACCAAAUGCUUUCCCAGCUCCAGCUCUUCCUAAAGGUAGGCUCAUUCUCACCCUCCAGUUCCAAUUCAAAUAUCACUCGCUCUCUAUCACAUUGUCUUAUUUACUUCCUUCACAGCACUGACCACACUCUAUAUCUAUCGUGUUUAUUUUUAUUUUUUUGGAUUAUUGUCUGUCUCUCCUCCCUCAAUUAGAAUGUAAGUUCCAUACAGACACCUUUGUCUGUCUUGUGUAUUGCAUCCCCAGCAUCUAGCACUGUGCCUGGAAUGUGCUAAGUGAGCAACAUGAGUGUUUGUGGAAUGACCCCUAUACCCUCCACCCCAAAUCAGCAUAAUUGUCCAUAAAACUGAGCUUCCCAAUACAUACGAACUUGUGGAAAAACCAGUACCUUGCAAUCCUAGAAUUUAUAAUCUAAGGUUCAUUCUUAAAGAAAAAGACAAAUAGUCAAUGUGCUAGAAGAGUGUCUCUGUCCUACCCCCAAAACAGAUAAAAAAAAUCAAGAUGAACUUACCAUUUUGAAAGGAAAACACAUAGUGGCCUAUACCCACAUCUUCCCAGGUGUGGAAAAGACCAGAUAUUUGCUGAACUUCUAUGUAGGCUCUAUCCUCAGGAAGAUGUAACUGGAAUGUAGAGAUGUAAAGCAUAAACCUCUUUUGAGUUGUACUCAGAGACAUGGUUUGAAUGGAGUCUAGAAAAAUGCACACGAGAAGCAAGAAUCCACCUGUGUGUAUCAAACACUGUACACUCUAGGGGAAAGAAUAUCUGUUUUUAAAUAACCUUCUUUAAACAUAAUUAUUCCCAAAUGCCGAAAAGAAAUCCUUUCAUAGCGAGCACACCAAUAGGAACUGUGACACGCCCAGCUGGCUCCCGUGCAGUCCCCUCCUGCUCUUCCUUCUAGCCUGUUGACCCAGGCACUACAGCCAGCGGUAGCUUCUCCCCAGUUGUUCUAGACAAGCUCCUUCCAAGGAAGCUGUAAGUUACCCAGGAGGUGGGGUGCUGGAAGUGAGGAUGGUUUUUUCUCUCUUUUUUGAAUGAUUGAAUGUCUUAAAGUGAGACUGUACUCAUCUAUUAUUUAGAUCAAUUUUUUAAAAUAAUAAGAGAACAUAAUUUUACUUAAAAAACAAACCUCUAGCUUGCCUUCUCAGAAUGAGACUCUCUGUCUUCCUGGUUGACAACCACUUGAAAAACAAUUUGGUAAGUUUUUUUUUUCUU
RNAcentral lists this long non-coding RNA (7727 nucleotides) under Homo sapiens (human). RNAcentral's name for it is "HSALNT0078409". Lineage: Eukaryota; Metazoa; Chordata; Mammalia; Primates; Hominidae. The record is from RNAcentral.